RNAcentral lists this unclassified non-coding RNA (400 nucleotides) under soil metagenome. Its description in RNAcentral is "partial contains 5.8S ribosomal RNA, internal transcribed spacer 2, and large subunit ribosomal RNA". The stretch from base 1 to 121 matches the Rfam family "5.8S ribosomal RNA", at positions 35 to 154 of the family's 154-position model. The record is from RNAcentral.
GAUGAAGAACGUAGCGAAAUGCGAUAAGUAAUGUGAAUUGCAGAAUUCAGUGAAUCAUCGAAUCUUUGAACGCACCUUGCGCCCUUUGGCUAUUCCGAAGGGCAUGCCUGUUUGAGUAUCGUGAACACCUCAACUCUCAUGGUUUGCCAUGAUGAGCUUGGACUUUGGGGGUUUUGCUGGCCUUUGGUCGGCUCCUCUCAAACGGAUCAGCUUUCCAGUGUUUGGUGGCGUCACGGGUGUGAUAACUAUCUACGCCUGUGGUUUUCUGCCAGAUAACCUUCAGCGAUGGAGGUUCGCUGGGGCUCAUAAAUGUCUCUCUUUAGUGGAGACAGCUUUUUGGACGUUUGAUCUCAAAUCAGGUAGGACUACCCGCUGAACUUAAGCAUAUCAAUAAGCGGAA